This 381-nucleotide long non-coding RNA is filed under the name Manihot esculenta (cassava). Its description in RNAcentral is "long non-coding RNA (MESC_LNC005820)". Lineage: Eukaryota; Viridiplantae; Streptophyta; Magnoliopsida; Malpighiales; Euphorbiaceae. The record is from RNAcentral.
UCCCUAUGAGCUGAUUUGCCCAAACUAUCAUGAAAAACCAGCACAAAGCACAAAUCAUAAACAUGUUCCAAUGGUCUAAGACUAUGAACUGAGCCUAAUAGCCACUUGGAGAAGUGACUGACUGAGUAACCGGGGGUGUAUCACCCAUGUACACAAUCGCGUAAAAAGGUUAGUGACUUUUUCAGGCAAAAAUAAGUUUCGAUGGUCUAGACUAUGAACAGAGCUAGUAGCCACUUGAACAAGUGACUAACUGAGUAACCGGGGGUGUAUCACCCAUGUACACAAUCGCGUAAAAAGGUUAGUGACUUUUUCAGGCAAGGAUAAGAAUAAGUGCUGCUGAAAAUAAAAAUAAAAAUAAAAUAAAAAGGAGAAAGAGAGAAG